Zalophus californianus (California sea lion) is the source of this 1430-nucleotide long non-coding RNA. RefSeq lists it as uncharacterized. The transcript is spliced from 4 exons. The record is from RefSeq and is a predicted model, not a curated record. Lineage: Eukaryota; Metazoa; Chordata; Mammalia; Carnivora; Otariidae.
AGCGCGGGGCAGGGGUGUAGGAGCAGUGUCCCUCAUCCUCUUGAGGAGGCUGGGCUCUGGGUCUGGGGAUGGCUCCCUCUGCCUGCUGUCAGGGAGGUGGGGGCAGCUGGCAUGAGGAACAUUUUCAUUGGCUUUACUGGCUGUGGGGGCGGGGAGGGGACCCAGGCGCCUGCCACCACCAGGAUUGGAAGCACCAGGGUUCAGGUACUCCCGCGGCAAUGAAUUCCCACUAUGCACAGUCAGGCUGGUCAUGUCUGGGGGCCGUCUGGGCACUGUGGGGGGUGAGCACAUCGCUGGUUCCCCCCACCAUUCAGUGCCAGGAGCUCCCUCCCCCCAUCGUGACAACCACAGAUGCCCUGAGACACCACCCCGUGUCCAGCAAAUGUCAUGUUCUCCUUUCUCCAUCUACUCUGGGUGCACCUAUAAAUGCUGAGUCUGUGAGGAAGGACACCUCCACUCUCGGAGGACCUCGGGGGGAAGGAAGGCUCCGGAUCAGGCACUCAAGGCAGCCUGCCCUGGCUGGGCUUGCUGGGGACCAAGAGAGAAAUCAGACUGGCGGAAUGGGCCUGUGAGAGGGGCCCCGGGGAACUCCCACGUGGACUGAGGCGGACCUUGGGCAUCUGGGUCAGUGACCGCGGUGGCAUGUGAAUUUCAGCCAAACACACGGAUCUCUAGUCCAUUCUGAAGUGUUUCAAUAUCUACAUCCGACUUUAAAAUAAAACGCAGAGACGGGGCUGUGGACACGCGGCUGGAGCCAGACAAGGCGAGCCCGGCAAACGUUACCGGUGGGAUGGAGGCGGAGGUGUGUGGUCUGUGUCCGCUGGAAAAGUUCCUCAACGUUUGGAAAUUUUCAUAAUAAAACACUAAAGAGUAAAACUGGAAGAAGCUCGAAGCUCCUGUUAUCAUGCCCCCAGCCUGGCCCCUUCUCCGAUCUCUGCUCCUGAGAACGGAAAGGCAGGCCUUUGGACCGCGUGGACCAAGCUGCAGGAAAACAGGCCAGAACUGAGGGCUGUCAGCCAGCCCGGCAGCCGUCUGGCCACGGAUCCACACGCAUGCGUCUGUGGCCGUGAGAUAGAGCGGGGGACCACAGGCCACGCUGGUGGCAUCGGGACAACGUCGCAAACGCGCACGUUCGAAGCCCCCGAGGGGAUGGACGACACAGACGUGAGCAGGGCUUAUCUCAAACGGGCGAACUGUUCUUAUCUCCCUUGUACUUCCCGUGUCCACGCUCCUGGAUACACCCAGUGAGGCCAAUGUUUCCGCAGAGGUUUCCUGAUAGAAAACGGUCCACAGGCGGAGAAUUUCUGUUGCUGAAUAUGAGACCCACGGGGCGCCCAGCGGGCUCAGUCUGUGGAGCGCGCGACUCUCCAUCUCGGCAUUAGAGAGAGAGAGAGACAGCGAGAGAGGAAACACAAGCAGGGGAGUGGGAG